This 443-nucleotide ribosomal RNA is filed under the name uncultured bacterium. Its description in RNAcentral is "partial 16S ribosomal RNA". It matches the Rfam family "Bacterial small subunit ribosomal RNA", at positions 338 to 795 of the family's 1533-position model. The record is from RNAcentral.
CCUACGGGUGGCUGCAGUGGGGGAUAUUGGACAAUGGGGGAAACCCUGAUCCAGCGACGCCGCGUGAGUGAAGAAGUAUUUCGGUAUGUAAAGCUCUGUUAGCAGGGAAGAAAGAAAUGACGGUACCUGAUCCAGAAGCCCCGGCUAACUACGUGCCAGCAGCCGCGGUAAUACGUAGGGGGCAAGCGUUAUCCGGAAUUACUGGGUGUAAAGGGAGCGUAGACGGUGAUGCAAGUCUGGAGUGAAAGGCGGGGGCCCAACCCCCGGACUGCUCUGGAAACUGUGUAACUUGAGUGCAGGAGAGGAAAGCGGAAUUCCAAGUGGAGCGGUGAAAUGCGUAGAUAUAAGGAGGAACACCAGUGGCGAAGGCGGCUUACUGGACUGUAACUGACGUUGAGGCUCGAAAGCGUGGGGAGCAAACAGGAUUAGAUACCCGGGUAGUC